Leguminivora glycinivorella is the source of this 528-nucleotide long non-coding RNA. RefSeq lists it as uncharacterized. NCBI's taxonomy places the organism in Eukaryota, Metazoa, Arthropoda, Insecta, Lepidoptera, Tortricidae. The record is from RefSeq and is a predicted model, not a curated record. The transcript is spliced from 4 exons.
ACGACCGCGUUGGAGGAUAUGAAUGCAUUGGAACCUUGACAUGUGUUUUACUGUGUUUCUCAUCACGAUAAUAGAAAAUCUAGUGCUCAAAUUCACAAUCUAAUGAACAUACAGCCAUACAAAAGAUGUCUUAAAGAGGUAUGCCUCCACUGACAAAGUGAAUUAAGUUGCCUACUCGAAAAGCAACUUUGCAAGGAAGCAAGUUUACUACCCACUGAAAUGUUCUCUUGGUACUUGAUGUGAUUAUGAAAUGAAACUGUCAUCCAUUAAAAUGUGAUAAAGAUAUUCCUGAUGGCGAUGAGUGAUGACUAACUUUCAAAACUACAAGAUGAACCCCUUCCACUUCUAGAAUGUGAAGAAUGCUGCCAUAUUACUGGCCCAUAUGAUCAUCAUGACAACUGUCUACCGUUGUCUACCCCGAUAUAAGGAAAAUUACAAACGUGUUGCUAAGCUUAAUAUUAGAUCAGUAGAAGCAGUUAGAAGAAUAAAGAAUGGUUCCGGAGUUUUACAAUGGCCGACUAAGUUUUG